GGUUCCAGAUGCUAGGUUACUUGACAUGCCAGCUGCAUGAAGAGCUAAGCCUUCCUCUUGCACAGCCCUUGCUAUGACUAAGUGAUGCUCCUGGGCUGUAUCAAUAACAGUAUUGGAUGCUUGUGAAGGUGUAUUUCUGUUACCAGAAAGAGAGUUCUGUCGAUGGUGAGGAGACAAGUUGGGUCCAGGCAUGGGGUUCCGCUGUUGAAGUGGAUAAUCAUUCCUACCAUCGUUGUAAGAAUCAGACAUCCUUCCAACAAGAUGGGCUGAACCUGAAAAUGCUGUGGGUGGACCUGAUGUAGACACAUCCCUCAAAAAGGAUGGAUCACCACCCGACCUGGCCAAAUCUGUAAAAGAACCCAUUGGAUGAAAAUGACCUGAAGGUGUGGGUGGCUUUGUGUAUUGUGCGUCCCCAUGAAAAGACAAUGUUUCCCUUUUCUCAUUUGGAUGGAUAAGAGACCCAAAAUUUGAACCAGGGAGCUCUAAUCUCAAAACAACGCCAGAAAUACAUAGUUUCCCAGGUACUCUCAGUACUUUCUCUGCGAAAUCAGAUGGGGGUACAAGAAACAAGGUGGUUUUAUCAUCCAAUUUAGCAACUGCAGCUCGCUGCUUCUCCUCAAGAUAAUGCAUGAAUUCAUUGUAGUACCCAAUGUCAGCAUCACUAGCAGGGGCAAAGAAAACAACCCAAGCAGAAGCUGCUUGAUAGUAGUGCUUCGCAAGCAUGUCUAGACCAGUCCUUGCAGUGCAAUCCAGAAAUUCAGGUAACAUGAUGUCCAGGGACUUUCCUACAGGAAAGCCACGGGCAUGACAGACCGGAGUUCCACCCUUUGCUAUAGUUCCUUCCCAUUUCCAUAGGUUCAAAGAGGAUUGUUCCGGCUCAGGAGUGAAUCUUUUCCUCUCAACAGGGUCUGAAGGCACAGAACCAGAGCCAUUCCGGAAAUUGUCAUAAGAAGCUUUCCAGUGAUCACUCCUUUCUUCAAGAGGAAGAGAUAAAGAACUUAGGCGGUCAGAGUUUGGCUUAUAUCCAUAGUUCUUUUCAAAUGACUCAGGUUGGGGAAAAUCAGAGAAUGCUCUUGGAAAAGCUUGUUUCUCCUCUUCUAGGUCAGAGAAAGGAUAUUCUGGAAGCUCUUUGUCAGGAGGAAAGGAGCCUGUCUUCAAUUUUUUGGCUCCACGGAACAUAUAGGAAUCUUCAGGCAAGUCCCAAGGUUCUUCAUAAUAUGAAG
This 1223-nucleotide unclassified non-coding RNA is filed under the name Hevea brasiliensis (rubber tree). The record is from RNAcentral. Lineage: Eukaryota; Viridiplantae; Streptophyta; Magnoliopsida; Malpighiales; Euphorbiaceae.